RNAcentral lists this ribosomal RNA (277 nucleotides) under Trypanosoma congolense. RNAcentral's name for it is "partial 18S ribosomal RNA". It matches the Rfam family "Eukaryotic small subunit ribosomal RNA", at positions 1 to 238 of the family's 1831-position model. Lineage: Eukaryota; Euglenozoa; Kinetoplastea; Trypanosomatida; Trypanosomatidae. The record is from RNAcentral.
GCGAUCUGGUUGAUUCUGCCAGUAGUCAUAUGCUUGUUUCAAGGACUUAGCCAUGCAUGCCUCAGAAUCACUGCAUUGCAGGAAUCUGCGCAUGGCUCAUUACAUCAGACGUAAUCUGCCGCCAAAAUCUUGCGGUCUCCGCAUUAUUGGAUAACUUGGCGAAACGCCAAGCUAAUACAUGAACCAAAGGGACGCUCCCUGCUACGGCCGCGGGGUGACUCGCGGUCACGGGACGUCCUGCGAAUGAAUGAAAUUAAGACCAACGCCCCCACCCGGG